Molecule: ribosomal RNA, 497 nt
Filed under: uncultured bacterium
Lineage: Bacteria
Description: bacterial SSU rRNA
Rfam family: Bacterial small subunit ribosomal RNA
Source: RNAcentral
CAGGACGAACGCUGGCGGCGUGCUUAACACAUGCAAGUCGAACGGGGCGAAGUGAUAGCUUGCUAGUUAUGGAGCCUAGUGGCAAACGGGUGAGUAACGCGUAGGCAACCUGCCCUUCAGAUGGGGACAACACCUCGAAAGGGGUGCUAAUACCGAAUGACGUUUCCUGGUCGCAUGACCUGGAAACCAAAGGCCGGGCAACCGGUCACUGAUGGAUGGGGAUGCGUCUGAUUAGCUUGUUGGCGGGUAACGGCCCACCAAGGCAACGAUCAGUAGGGGUUCUGAGAGGAAGGUCCCCCACUGGAACUGAGACACGGUCCAAACUCCUACGGGAGGCAGCAGUGAGGAAUAUUGGUCAAUGGGCGAGAGCCUGAACCAGCCAAGUAGCGUGCAGGACGACGGCCCUAUGGGUUGUAAACUGCUUUUAUAAGGGAAUAAAGUGAGUCUCGUGAGACUUUUUGCAUGUACCUUAUGAAUAAGGACCGGCUAAUUCCGUG